Molecule: long non-coding RNA, 211 nt
Organism: Arabidopsis thaliana (thale cress)
Lineage: Eukaryota; Viridiplantae; Streptophyta; Magnoliopsida; Brassicales; Brassicaceae
Product: other RNA
Exons: 1
Source: RefSeq
AAUGAAAUCUCCUGAUGAGUCAAAUGUGUAAAUAGAAAAAGAGUGAAAACCUUCGACUCACCAAUACUAAACCAAUACAAAACCCAUAAGUGCACUCUGCCUUUGACUUCAUAUUUUCAUAUUUCCUUUUCUAUCUUAUUGGACUUUCAUGAAUCACCCUCCUCGUCCAUUAUCAUUACCUCGUAUUAUUAACUCUCUCACACGACACACG